Long non-coding RNA from Pristis pectinata (smalltooth sawfish), 1697 nucleotides. RefSeq lists it as uncharacterized. NCBI's taxonomy places the organism in Eukaryota, Metazoa, Chordata, Chondrichthyes, Rhinopristiformes, Pristidae. The transcript is spliced from 3 exons. The record is from RefSeq and is a predicted model, not a curated record.
AGAACAAGAAGGUUAUGUACAACCUUAUAAAACUUUGGUUAGGCCACAGCUGGAGCACUGUGUGCAAUUUGGGUCACCAUACUAUAGGAAGGGCAUGACUGCACUGGAAAGGGUGCAGAGAUUCACCAGGAUGUUACCUGGGAUGGAAUGUUUUUGUUAUGAGGAGACACAAGAUGGGCUGGGUUUCUUUUCCUUGGAGCAGAGAAGGCAGACGGGGCCCAGAGAUAAGGUAGACAGUAACAAUCUUCCACCACCCACCUUCCUGGCAUAGAUGUCUAUGAACAGAGGACAUAGCAUUGUGAAGAGUGAGGUUUAGAAAGGACGCGAGGAAGGUGGUUUUGCACUGCCCAAGGGGUUGGUAGAGGCAGAGACUCUCACAAUAUGACGAACACUUAUGGCCACGACAUCGAAGGCUAUGGGCCAACUGCAGGUUGUCUAGACCAUGGAUGGCCAUAGUUAUCAAAUUGCCUCUCAGCACACCAACUUCUCCAGUCCACCCUUACUAAAACUCUCUCAGGGUUAAGGAAUGAUUUGCUUCCACUAAGGUUCUGAGGUGACCUGAGAGUUCCACGCGAGAUUCACGGACUGUAACGAGUGCAGCAUCUGGUGCUUGACAGGACAGAGACUGAAGAGCGCAGCACUGGUAAUGAGGACUAUGAAGAGCUGGACUGCAGAGGCAGAAGAGCGAAUUUGGGAUUGCUUCGAGUCGGUGGACUGGACCACGUUCAAGGAUUAGUUAGCGGACCUAAAUGAAUGUGCCAGAGUCAUCACCGACUUCAUAAGGACAUGCGUGGAUGAGUGUGUACCCACAAAAACAUUCCAAGUCUUCCCCAACCAGAAGCCCUGGAUGAACCAAGAGAUUCGUAAUCUGCUGAGGGCUACAUCUGUGGCGUUUAGGGUUGGCGACACAGAAUCAUAUAAGAAGUCCAGGUAUGACCUCUGGAAUGCCAUUGCGAGUGCAAAUAGGCAAUUUCGGACUGAACUGGUGGACGCUUGACAGCUGUGGCAGGACUUGCACAAUACAACUUCCUACAAGGUGAGAUCAGGUAACAUAAGUGGCAACGAUCCGUCACUCCCGGAUGAGCUCAUUGCCUUUUAUGCACACUUUGAUAGGGAGAACUAUGACACACCCACAUAAGCCCCCACAUCUCUGGAUGACCCUGUAAUUUUAGUCUCUGAGUCCAACGCUCGAGCAUGCUUCAAGAGGGUGAAUCCACGAAAGGCAUCUGGGUCCAGACAGCGUACCUGGCAGAGUACUAGAGAUCUGUGCUGACCAACUGGCUGGAGUAUUUAUGGACAUAUUCAACCUCUUGCUUCUGCAGUCUGAGAUCCCACCUGCCUCAAAGAGGCAUCUAUUGUAUCGGUGCCCAAUAAGGGGGAGGUGACCUGCCUCAAUGAUUACCAUCCGGUAGCGCUUACAUCUGUAAUGAAGUGCUUCGAAAGUUCGAUUUUGGCGCGAAUCAACUCUUGCUUCAGGGAUGACCUGGAUCCACUCCAAUUUGCUUACCACCACAGCAGGUCAACAGCAGAUGCAACUUCUCUGGUGCUUCACUCUGCUCUAGACCAUCUGGACAAUAGGAACUCAUACGUCAGGCUGCUGUUCAACAGCUCGACAUUCAACACAAUCAUCCCAUCGAAACUCAUCAUCAAGCUUCAAGACCUGGGCCUCUGUACCUCCCUCUGCAACUGGAUACUCA